RNAcentral lists this ribosomal RNA (629 nucleotides) under uncultured fungus. RNAcentral's name for it is "eukaryotic LSU rRNA". The stretch from base 222 to 375 matches the Rfam family "5.8S ribosomal RNA". Lineage: Eukaryota; Fungi. The record is from RNAcentral.
AUUGGAAGUAAAAGUCGUAACAAGGUUUCCGUAGGUGAACCUGCGGAAGGAUCAUUAGUGAAUUGAAUAUGUUAGCGGACCUCUUCGGAGUCCCUAGCAUCAAAUCAUAUCCAUAACACCUGUGAACUGUAAGGCUGUCUUGAAAACGAAAGUGAUUAGAGCGCCUGCCCAUUUUAUACAAACAUUAAAGUAACAAACGUAGUCUUAUUAUAAUCUAAUAAAACUUUCAACAACGGAUCUCUUGGCUCUCGCAUCGAUGAAGAACGCAGCGAAAUGCGAUAAGUAAUGUGAAUUGCAGAAUUCAGUGAAUCAUCGAAUCUUUGAACGCACCUUGCGCUCUUUGGUAUUCCGAAGAGCAUGCCUGUUUGAGUGUCAUGAAAAUAUCAACCUUGACUUGGGUUUAGUGCUCUUGUCUUGGCUUGGAUUUGGCUGUUUGCCGCUCGAAAGAGUCGGCUCAGCUUAAAAGUAUUAGCUGGAUCUGUCUUUGAGACUUGGUUUGACUUGGCGUAAUAAGUUAUUUCGCUGAGGACAAUCUUCGGAUUGGCCGAGUUUCUGGGACGUUUGUCCGCUUUCUAAUACAAGUUCUAGCUUGCUAGACAUGACUUUUUUAUUAUCUGGCCUCAAAUCAG